RNAcentral lists this ribosomal RNA (2526 nucleotides) under Escherichia coli. RNAcentral's name for it is "partial 23S ribosomal RNA". It matches the Rfam family "Bacterial large subunit ribosomal RNA", at positions 419 to 2925 of the family's 2925-position model. The record is from RNAcentral. Lineage: Bacteria; Pseudomonadati; Pseudomonadota; Gammaproteobacteria; Enterobacterales; Enterobacteriaceae.
GGGACACGUGGUAUCCUGUCUGAAUAUGGGGGGACCAUCCUCCAAGGCUAAAUACUCCUGACUGACCGAUAGUGAACCAGUACCGUGAGGGAAAGGCGAAAAGAACCCCGGCGAGGGGAGUGAAAAAGAACCUGAAACCGUGUACGUACAAGCAGUGGGAGCCUCUUAAUGGGGUGACUGCGUACCUUUUGUAUAAUGGGUCAGCGACUUAUAUUCUGUAGCAAGGUUAACCGAAUAGGGGAGCCGAAGGGAAACCGAGUCUUAACUGGGCGUUAAGUUGCAGGGUAUAGACCCGAAACCCGGUGAUCUAGCCAUGGGCAGGUUGAAGGUUGGGUAACACUAACUGGAGGACCGAACCGACUAAUGUUGAAAAAUUAGCGGAUGACUUGUGGCUGGGGGUGAAAGGCCAAUCAAACCGGGAGAUAGCUGGUUCUCCCCGAAAGCUAUUUAGGUAGCGCCUCGUGAAUUCAUCUCCGGGGGUAGAGCACUGUUUCGGCAAGGGGGUCAUCCCGACUUACCAACCCGAUGCAAACUGCGAAUACCGGAGAAUGUUAUCACGGGAGACACACGGCGGGUGCUAACGUCCGUCGUGAAGAGGGAAACAACCCAGACCGCCAGCUAAGGUCCCAAAGUCAUGGUUAAGUGGGAAACGAUGUGGGAAGGCCCAGACAGCCAGGAUGUUGGCUUAGAAGCAGCCAUCAUUUAAAGAAAGCGUAAUAGCUCACUGGUCGAGUCGGCCUGCGCGGAAGAUGUAACGGGGCUAAACCAUGCACCGAAGCUGCGGCAGCGACACUAUGUGUUGUUGGGUAGGGGAGCGUUCUGUAAGCCUGUGAAGGUGUGCUGUGAGGCAUGCUGGAGGUAUCAGAAGUGCGAAUGCUGACAUAAGUAACGAUAAAGCGGGUGAAAAGCCCGCUCGCCGGAAGACCAAGGGUUCCUGUCCAACGUUAAUCGGGGCAGGGUGAGUCGACCCCUAAGGCGAGGCCGAAAGGCGUAGUCGAUGGGAAACAGGUUAAUAUUCCUGUACUUGGUGUUACUGCGAAGGGGGGACGGAGAAGGCUAUGUUGGCCGGGCGACGGUUGUCCCGGUUUAAGCGUGUAGGCUGGUUUUCCAGGCAAAUCCGGAAAACCAAGGCUGAGGCGUGAUGACGAGGCACUACGGUGCUGAAGUGACAAAUGCCCUGCUUCCAGGAAAAGCCUCUAAGCAUCAGGUAACAUCAAAUCGUACCCCAAACCGACACAGGUGGUCAGGUAGAGAAUACCAAGGCGCUUGAGAGAACUCGGGUGAAGGAACUAGGCAAAAUGGUGCCGUAACUUCGGGAGAAGGCACGCUGAUAUGUAGGUGAAGCGACUUGCUCGUGGAGCUGAAAUCAGUCGAAGAUACCAGCUGGCUGCAACUGUUUAUUAAAAACACAGCACUGUGCAAACACGAAAGUGGACGUAUACGGUGUGACGCCUGCCCGGUGCCGGAAGGUUAAUUGAUGGGGUUAGCGGCAACGCGAAGCUCUUGAUCGAAGCCCCGGUAAACGGCGGCCGUAACUAUAACGGUCCUAAGGUAGCGAAAUUCCUUGUCGGGUAAGUUCCGACCUGCACGAAUGGCGUAAUGAUGGCCAGGCUGUCUCCACCCGAGACUCAGUGAAAUUGAACUCGCUGUGAAGAUGCAGUGUACCCGCGGCAAGACGGAAAGACCCCGUGAACCUUUACUAUAGCUUGACACUGAACAUUGAGCCUUGAUGUGUAGGAUAGGUGGGAGGCUUUGAAGUGUGGACGCCAGUCUGCAUGGAGCCGACCUUGAAAUACCACCCUUUAAUGUUUGAUGUUCUAACGUUGGCCCCUGAUCGGGGUUGCGGACAGUGUCUGGUGGGUAGUUUGACUGGGGCGGUCUCCUCCUAAAGAGUAACGGAGGAGCACGAAGGUUGGCUAAUCCUGGUCGGACAUCAGGAGGUUAGUGCAAUGGCAUAAGCCAGCUUGACUGCGAGCGUGACGGCGCGAGCAGGUGCGAAAGCAGGUCAUAGUGAUCCGGUGGUUCUGAAUGGAAGGGCCAUCGCUCAACGGAUAAAAGGUACUCCGGGGAUAACAGGCUGAUACCGCCCAAGAGUUCAUAUCGACGGCGGUGUUUGGCACCUCGAUGUCGGCUCAUCACAUCCUGGGGCUGAAGUAGGUCCCAAGGGUAUGGCUGUUCGCCAUUUAAAGUGGUACGCGAGCUGGGUUUAGAACGUCGUGAGACAGUUCGGUCCCUAUCUGCCGUGGGCGCUGGAGAACUGAGGGGGGCUGCUCCUAGUACGAGAGGACCGGAGUGGACGCAUCACUGGUGUUCGGGUUGUCAUGCCAAUGGCACUGCCCGGUAGCUAAAUGCGGAAGAGAUAAGUGCUGAAAGCAUCUAAGCACGAAACUUGCCCCGAGAUGAGUUCUCCCUGACUCCUUGAGAGUCCUGAAGGAACGUUGAAGACGACGACGUUGAUAGGCCGGGUGUGUAAGCGCAGCGAUGCGUUGAGCUAACCGGUACUAAUGAACCGUGAGGCUUAACCUU